GACGAACCGUGCGAACGUUGUUCGGAAUCACUAGGCUUAAAGGGCGCGUAGGCGGGCCACCAAGUCCGGGGUGAAAUCCUCCAGCUUAACUGGAGAACUGCCUCGGAUACUGGAGGUCUCGAGGAAGAUAGGGGCAUGCGGAACCGUGGGUGGAGCGGUGAAAUGCGUUGAUAUCCAUGGGAACUCCGGUGGCGAAGGCGGCAUGCUGGAUCUUUUCUGACGCUGAGGCGCGAAAGCCAGGGGAGCAAACGGG
RNAcentral lists this ribosomal RNA (253 nucleotides) under uncultured bacterium. RNAcentral's name for it is "partial 16S ribosomal RNA". It matches the Rfam family "Bacterial small subunit ribosomal RNA", at positions 524 to 776 of the family's 1533-position model. The record is from RNAcentral.